Non-coding RNA from Schizosaccharomyces pombe (fission yeast), 290 nucleotides. Lineage: Eukaryota; Fungi; Ascomycota; Schizosaccharomycetes; Schizosaccharomycetales; Schizosaccharomycetaceae. The record is from the annotation of a GenBank genome assembly.
UUGGCAACCAAGUAGUUGGUGACUAAUGGAAUGUUAGUAUAAAGAACGAUACAUGUAUUUUGGUGUAACUAAGGCAAAGGGGGAAAGGUGAAAAAAAGUUAAAAGCACAACGAACAAAGAAAAAAGAUAAGAAAUGGCACAUCUCCCACAAUGGAUCUUUUGCCAAUAAGCCUUUGCUAUAUGCGUUUUCAUUGUUUUUUAUACAUUGCCUCUCAAACACUCUGUUGCCGAGAAAAAAUUUUAGUCCUUCAACCAAAUCUCCUUCUCAAAACCCAAACACCCUGCCAUUU